AUUGAACGCUGGCGGCAGGCCUAACACAUGCAAGUCGAGCGGUUGACGGGAGCUUGCUCCCUGAUUCAGCGGCGGACGGGUGAGUAAUGCCUAGGAAUCUGCCUAUUAGUGGGGGACAACGCUUCGAAAGGAACGCUAAUACCGCAUACGUCCUACGGGAGAAAGCAGGGGACCUUCGGGCCUUGCGCUAAUAGAUGAGCCUAGGUCGGAUUAGCUUGUUGGUGAGGUAUGGCUCACCAAGGCGACGAUCCGUAACUGGUCUGAGAGGAUGAUCAGUCACACUGGAACUGAGACACGGUCCAGACUCCUACGGGAGGCAGCAGUGGGGAAUAUUGGACAAUGGGCGAAAGCCUGGUCCAGCCAUGCCGCGUGUGUGAAGAAGGUCUUCGGAUUGUAAAGCACUUUAAGUUGGGAGGAAGGGUUGUAGAUUAAUACUCUGCAAUUUUGACGUUACCGACAGAAUAAGCACCGGCUAACUCUGUGCCAGCAGCCGCGGUAC
Molecule: ribosomal RNA, 499 nt
Filed under: uncultured bacterium
Lineage: Bacteria
Description: partial 16S ribosomal RNA
Rfam family: Bacterial small subunit ribosomal RNA
Source: RNAcentral